Malaclemys terrapin pileata is the source of this 364-nucleotide long non-coding RNA. RefSeq lists it as uncharacterized. The record is from RefSeq and is a predicted model, not a curated record. The transcript has 3 exons. NCBI's taxonomy places the organism in Eukaryota, Metazoa, Chordata, Testudines, Emydidae.
CUUUGCUGCUUUUACAGAUCAAGACUAACACAACUAUCCCUCUGAUAAGGAAUAUGGGAAUGAUAAUCUUCAAAGCUCACACCCAGGUUAUACUCUGAGAAGGAGCAUAUGCUAAGCAAUAAAACCUUAUUUUCAUCAUAAACGGAGAAUUUAAGACCCACGCAGUAUCUGCUUUCUCAAGGUCCAUGAAGAUGGGGAUACCAACAAAUGGAAACUUAAAGGAGGAUUGUGGUUCAUGCUCUGUAAGAUGAUUUGGUUCUGGGUAAAGAUGGCUCCAUUUUAGUAAUAUUGACAUCAGCAUCAACACGUGACAUUUCAUAACUUGUCCUGCACAUCAAGCUACGUUCUAUAGAAUUUUCAGUGA